Molecule: ribosomal RNA, 253 nt
Filed under: uncultured bacterium
Lineage: Bacteria
Description: partial 16S ribosomal RNA
Rfam family: Bacterial small subunit ribosomal RNA
Source: RNAcentral
UACGGAGGGUGCAAGCGUUGCUCGGAAUCACUGGGCGUAAAGCGACCGCAGGCGGCCUGACAAGUCGGAUGUGAAAGCCCUGGGCUCAACUCAGGAAUUGCAUUCGAAACUGGUAGGCUUGAGUACGGGAGAGGGGGGUGGAAUUCCUGGUGUAGGGGUGAAAUUCGUUGAUAUCAGGAGGAACACCGGCGGCGAAGGCGGCCCCCUGGCCCGCAACUGACGCUCAUGGUCGAAAGCGUGGGGAGCAAACAGG